RNAcentral lists this ribosomal RNA (479 nucleotides) under Streptococcus mitis. RNAcentral's name for it is "bacterial SSU rRNA". It matches the Rfam family "Bacterial small subunit ribosomal RNA", at positions 28 to 493 of the family's 1533-position model. Lineage: Bacteria; Bacillati; Bacillota; Bacilli; Lactobacillales; Streptococcaceae. The record is from RNAcentral.
GACGAACGCUGGCGGCGUGCCUAAUACAUGCAAGUAGAACGCUGAAGGAGGAGCUUGCUUCUCCGGAUGAGUUGCGAACGGGUGAGUAACGCGUAGGUAACCUGCCUGGUAGCGGGGGAUAACUAUUGGAAACGAUAGCUAAUACCGCAUAAGAGUAGAUGUUGCAUGACAUUUACUUAAAAGGUGCAAUUGCACCACUACCAGAUGGACCUGCGUUGUAUUAGCUAGUUGGUGGGGUAACGGCUCACCAAGGCGACGAUACAUAGCCGACCUGAGAGGGUGAUCGGCCACACUGGGACUGAGACACGGCCCAGACUCCUACGGGAGGCAGCAGUAGGGAAUCUUCGGCAAUGGACGGAAGUCUGACCGAGCAACGCCGCGUGAGUGAAGAAGGUUUUCGGAUCGUAAAGCUCUGUUGUAAGAGAAGAACGAGUGUGAGAGUGGAAAGUUCACACUGUGACGUAUCUACCAGAAAGGAC